CCUACGGGGGGCAGCAGUGGGGAAUAUUGGGCAAUGGAGGCAACUCUGACCCAGCAACGCCGCGUGAAUGAUGAAGGUCUUCGGAUUGUAAAGUUCUGUGAUGGGGGAUGAACACAAUAACGGUACCCCAAUAGCAAGCCACGGCUACCUACGUGCCAGCAGCCGCGGUAAUACGUAGGUGGCAAGCGUUAUCCGGAUUGACUGGGCGUAAAGGGUGCGUAGGUGGGUUAGUAAGUUGGCGGUGUAAUUCCGGGGCUCAACCCCGGCGCUACCGCCAAAACUAUUAGACUAGAGUGCAGGGGGGGUAAGUGGAAUGCCUGGUGUAGCGGUGGAAUGCGUAGAUAUUAGGAAGAACACCAGGGGCGAAGGCGACUUACUGGACUGUAACUGACGCUGAGGCACGAAAGCGUGGGGAGCAAACAGGAUUAGAUACCCUUGUAGUC
RNAcentral lists this ribosomal RNA (443 nucleotides) under uncultured bacterium. Its description in RNAcentral is "partial 16S ribosomal RNA". It matches the Rfam family "Bacterial small subunit ribosomal RNA", at positions 338 to 795 of the family's 1533-position model. The record is from RNAcentral.